AAUCCCCUGCGUUGUUUGUGAUUGAUAAGAUUCUUUGUUCCAACACGAUUUUAAAAGGGAACUUAACUUGGUAUCAAGAGUGAUUUCCGUCGAUUGUCAUGGAAACCCGAAGGUAUCAUAGAGUGCCCACCUUUAAACAAGGUUCAAAAGGUUUGUCAACACGGCAUUCUGUGGGGGCUUU
This 181-nucleotide non-coding RNA is filed under the name Candidatus Magnetomorum sp. RNAcentral describes it as "6S RNA". It matches the Rfam family "6S / SsrS RNA". Rfam says of the family: E. coli 6S RNA was the first non coding RNA to be sequenced, but its function was unknown until recently. It consists of 184 nucleotides that fold into an extended hairpin structure with a large single-stranded internal bulge. The record is from RNAcentral. Lineage: Bacteria; Pseudomonadati; Thermodesulfobacteriota; Desulfobacteria; Desulfobacterales; Candidatus Magnetomoraceae.